This 441-nucleotide ribosomal RNA is filed under the name uncultured bacterium. RNAcentral's name for it is "partial 16S ribosomal RNA". It matches the Rfam family "Bacterial small subunit ribosomal RNA", at positions 338 to 795 of the family's 1533-position model. The record is from RNAcentral.
CCUACGGGCGGCAGCAGUGGGGGAUAUUGCACAAUGGGGGGAACCCUGAUGCAGCGACGCCGCGUGGGUGAAGGAGUGCUUCGGCAUGUAAAGCCCUAUCGGCAGGGAAGAAGCAAGACGGUACCUGACUAAGAAGCCCCGGCUAACUACGUGCCAGCAGCCGCGGUAAUACGUAGGGGGCGAGCGUUAUCCGGAUUCACUGGGUGUAAAGGGAGCGUAGACGGCCAUGCAAGCCAGGGGUGAAAGCCCGGGGCCCAACCCCGGGACUGCCCUUGGAACUGUGCGGCUAGAGUGCGGGAGGGGCAGGCGGAAUUCGUGGUGUAGCGGUGAAAUGCGUAGAUAUCAGGAGGAACACCGGCGGCGAAGGCGGCCUGCUGGACUGCGACUGACGUUGAGGCUCGAAAGCGUGGGGAGCGAACAGGAUUAGAUACCCCUGUAGUC